RNAcentral lists this microRNA precursor (142 nucleotides) under Pelodiscus sinensis (Chinese soft-shelled turtle). RNAcentral describes it as "miRNA (ENSPSIG00000019650.1)". Lineage: Eukaryota; Metazoa; Chordata; Testudines; Trionychidae. The record is from RNAcentral.
CAGAUCAGGGGGAGGGGGAGCAGAGCGGAGCGGAGCGGAGCAGAGCGGAGCGGAGCGGAGCGGCAGAACGCGCGGCCAGCUGACAGACCAGACGCGUCUGGGCUGUCAGCUGGCCGCGCGUUCCGCCACCGCUUUGCUUCCU